UACGGAGGGUGCAAGCGUUAUCCGGAUUCACUGGGUUUAAAGGGUGCGUAGGUGGGCUUGUAAGUCAGUGGUGAAAUCUCCGGGCUUAACUCGGAAACUGCCAUUGAUACUAUAAGUCUUGAAUACCAUGGAGGUGAGCGGAAUAUGUCAUGUAGCGGUGAAAUGCUUAGAUAUGACAUAGAACACCAAUUGCGAAGGCAGCUCGCUACGCGGUUAUUGACACUGAGGAGCGAAAGCGUGGGGAGCGAACAGG
This 253-nucleotide ribosomal RNA is filed under the name uncultured bacterium. RNAcentral's name for it is "partial 16S ribosomal RNA". It matches the Rfam family "Bacterial small subunit ribosomal RNA", at positions 524 to 776 of the family's 1533-position model. The record is from RNAcentral.